Molecule: ribosomal RNA, 433 nt
Filed under: uncultured bacterium
Lineage: Bacteria
Description: partial 16S ribosomal RNA
Rfam family: Bacterial small subunit ribosomal RNA
Source: RNAcentral
AACGAACGCUGGCGGCAUGCCUAACACAUGCAAGUCGAACGAGACCUUCGGGUCUAGUGGCGCACGGGUGCGUAACGCGUGGGAACCUGCCCUUAGGUUCGGAAUAACUCCCCGAAAGGGGUGCUAAUACCGGAUAAUGUCUUCGGACCAAAGAUUUAUCGCCUUUGGAUGGGCCCGCGUUGGAUUAGCUAGUUGGUAGGGUAAAAGCCUACCAAGGCGACGAUCCAUAGCUGGUCUGAGAGGAUGAUCAGCCACACUGGGACUGAGAUACGGCCCAGACUCCUACGGGAGGCAGCAGUGGGGAAUAUUGGACAAGGGGCGAAAGCCUGAUCCAGCAAUGCCGCGUGAGUGAUGAAGGCCUUAGGGUUGUAAAGCUCUUUUACCCGGGAUGAUAAUGACAGUACCGGGAGAAUAAGCUCCGGCUAACUCCGUG